Molecule: transfer RNA, 338 nt
Filed under: Microcystis flos-aquae TAU-MAC 0410
Lineage: Bacteria; Bacillati; Cyanobacteriota; Cyanophyceae; Chroococcales; Microcystaceae
Description: partial 16S-23S ribosomal RNA intergenic spacer
Rfam family: tRNA (bases 106-179)
Source: RNAcentral
AAAAAAAGUAGUCCCAACCAAGAAUCAAUCCCAAAAGGUCGGAGCGAGGCAAAAUUGGCUUUCAAACUAGGUUCUGGGUUCACACAAGACCUGAAUCAGGAACAAGGGCUAUUAGCUCAGGUGGUUAGAGCGCACCCCUGAUAAGGGUGAGGUCCCUGGUUCGAGUCCAGGAUGGCCCACCUGCACAGGUGGCCAAAACAAAGAAAAAAAGCUCCGAAUCAGCACCUUAUCUUACUUAUAUAGUAAGAGAGAAUGCUGGCUCUGAGUACAGAGUCCAGAGGAACCUUGAAAACUGCAUAGAGCUAGGUGAAAAAGCCAAAAAAGAAGACCGCCAGGUC